Anas platyrhynchos (mallard) is the source of this 4136-nucleotide non-coding RNA. NCBI's taxonomy places the organism in Eukaryota, Metazoa, Chordata, Aves, Anseriformes, Anatidae. The record is from RefSeq and is a predicted model, not a curated record.
CGGCAUGUGGAAAGUGAACAUUAGCUGUCAACUGGUUCAUCAGCCAACUCUUUAAAAACUCUUAGGUAGAUGCUAUCCUGACACACUGAUUUAACAAUGUUUAACUUUAGUAGCUGCUAUUUAACAUCUUGAGUUACUGCUGGAAUGGAAAGUAUUUCACCAUCAUCCUAUAAGAUGAUUACAUCACCUGGCUUCUUCACAAGUACAAAACAGGAAUUUGUCUGCCUUCUCUACAGGGCUGUUGACAAUUUAAAUGCUCCCAGCCUGCAGUGGCUCCAUGUCAUUGUGGAUGCUGCUCUUUGGGCUUCUCCCUCUCCUCCCUUUCAGUCUGGGGAGCAGGAACCCAUCUCUUUCCACCUCUUUGAUUCCUCUCCCUCCUUCUUGCUGACCCCCCCCACGUUGUGAAUCCAAUUAGGGUUGUGGUGGGGCUCGCAGCUGCUCUGCAUUAAAUACACCGAGCCUGUUUGGUGCACCGUGGAGCCAGAUGAGAUGCCAGCCUGUUCUCUUUAAAUUCCUGGCUUGUGUUUAGGUUUCUGGAGGUUGGAGCAGAACAAGAGGGUGUGAGAUGAGGGGGCUGAGGCUUUUUUUUUUUUCCCUGGUGGUCCCAAACUCCAGGAAAUGCUGACCUGGCAGGGAAGAGCACAGGUGGCCCAGGACAGAGGAAAGGCAACGCUGCUGAAGGAAGCAGGCUAUUGUCACAUUCAGAGCUCAUGGAGACCCUGUGGUCAAGAAGACAGUUUUCAAGUCUGAAACCAAAGCUAGCAAUUUCUUUUCAAAACAUUGUGAUCCCAGAAGCACCGUGGUUGUUACACCCGCAGCUGUGACAGGAGACAGGAGUAGUGAAAAUAUAUGGACACAUGAUAAAGGCUUUAUUCAUCUCAAACUAUCAAAAUGCCCAAACCCUCAAGAUUAUUGAGAAUUAAAGUGCAGCCUGAAGUGGAGCCCAUAAAAUAGAGUAACAUGGAUGCUUUUCUCCCAAUGGCAGUUCUUCCAGUCUGGAUGGCAUUUCAAAAGACCGUAGUGACUUCUGAAGAGGCUGUAGCAACAGAUAAUAUUCGUCAAACAGCAAACAGCACCAUCUAUUAAAUGCACUAUAUCUGCCUUUUUAUGGCAUCAUCUCUCCAGGAGGCUUUCUGCAGAGACAUGGAAAUGGUCUGUGCAGCAACGUAGGCUUUCAGACACCAGCCAGUGGUUUCCAUCACGCUGUUCCACCUCUCUCCCGGUCCUUCACGAGAGAAAAUUGUGUCUCUUCUGUCCUGGACUGUGCAGAGCUCACAGAUUCGGGCUGGUGCCCAGUGCAGUGGCCCAAAGUACCCACAGAAUGAGCCACAGAAUGAGCUUUCCUCUGUCCCCUUCUCUCUUCUCCUUUCUUUGUCCCUCCAGUCUUGCGCACAAGUGACCAUUCUCCAGACACGUAUCACUGUGACCAUGAUCAAGAGCAUUGCUUGGGCACAUAACCUGCCUGUUUCUUCUAGUGCUGAAGCCUGCUGUCUUCCAAAUGGCUCAGGAGCCUCCGGCACAGAGUUUGGUUUGCAGGGAGGUGCGAUGAGGGAGGAGGUUACGCCUCAGGCUGAGCAGCCAGAGAGAUGCUGGAGCUGCUCUCUUCUGCCAGCCAUCACCUGGAGGAUUCCUGGAGCAGAAGGCACGAAGGUUUCCUGUAGGGGAAGCACUAAAGCUUUAGGCCCUUCCUGGUAAUACUCUGUGGGGCAAGUAAAAUUAAUUCUGACCCUGUUGGUGUGUGUGUGCAUCCCUCGUUAACAAACCAGAAGCAGGAGAUGUGGGGAAAACAGGAACAAGAGAAACACUUGGGGAACGGCUCACACCCGGAUAAGCUUCUCGUUCACCUUUACCUGCUGUGCACCCCAAUUAUGGACUAAAAAAUGCCUUCAUUUACCACUGCAUCGCCUUUGCAGAGCUACCCGCAGUCCACAGCACGCCCUUCAUGGUGCGUGGUGCCUCACCACCCUUCCUCUUGUUCAGAGGAGGUGACUGAUGCCCUUGCUGUAAUUUUCAGUCACCUUCACCAGCACAGUGGUUAUGCCAUUACUGUCGCCUCUGUCAGCUCAGACGUUGAGCCGUGCAGUAAUGUUAGUGUUUUACUCUCAAUUUACACCCUGGGAGUGGACCUGUGGCAUUGACUGAGGAAUAAGAGAUGCGGUAGCUGUUGUAAGAAAAAUGUCUCCGGACUUUCUCAAACAUGAUCUGUGGCUAUGUGAAUCCCAGCCUUCGGACCUGCAAAAGGUCUGGAAAUGGCACUGGAAGUGGCAGGGCAGGCCACUUUGCCCUCUCUUAUUGCUUACAACAUUUCUUCUCAUUUCUAAAGAGGUUUAGGAGGCUGGAAGAGGAACUUUGUCAUUGCCACCAUGAGUAUGGUUAAUUUGCAAACAGAGUGAGAAACCUAAGUGUAUGUAUCUACAGGACAGCCUAUAAUUAGAAAUGGUCUUUUUUUCUUUUUUUUUGCUUCUGGAAAGGUUUCUGCUGUCUGGCUCAGAUGGAACCGAUCCCAGUUUGUUUUUGUUUCUCUUGAAUUAGAGCACGGCUGCUCUUUCCAGGAUUUCCCAGGCGAAAAUAUAUGCAUGAGGACCGCGCAUGGUUCUUCGUCGUGGAUAUGUCAAGCCGAAUACACAGGCACUUCACACGCAGUCCGUGCACACUUUGAUGACUUUGGGGUUCACUUGGCCCUCCAGACCUUAUCAGGAGCCCUGGCAGGGAUUUGCCCGUACUGCUCAUAUGUUCCUAUGGAAACCAGAACCAGGAUCUCCUGCGCGCUGCAGUGCUGGAGGGGCAAAAGCAAACAUGGGUGGGAGGGAAGAAACCAGCGGGGUCGUGGGCAAUGUGUGCCCUCCCUUGGCACCAUCAGUGGUGUGCUGAAGCUCCCUGGGAGUGGGAGAGAGGGAAGGAGGCAAUUUCAAUAGCCUGAGCUUGCCUGCAGCAUCCCCGCAGCUCAGAGCGGCCAGGAGCAAGGUGGCAGCUCAACAGGCAUGCACAGCCGGCAGCUUGUGGGUGUGAGGUCUGCUUAGCCCAAGGUGAGCUUGCAGGGUGCAGGAUGCAGCACAACAAUAGCACUGCCCACCUGUGUAGCUUGCUAACGAGCAGGUUUAAUUACCCUGGGAGGAGCUGUAGUGGUAUCCUUGUGCUUGGUCCGUAGCCUCUGCCGCACCGCCCUGCGCAUCGCAGCUCCCCUGGGGAGGGGGCUCCUUCAGGCAGCUGCUGGCUCCUGACACAGCCACGGAUCUCAGAUGUCCUGCACCGUUCAGGAGCUGUGAUCCCAGAGAUUUCGCCCUUUUGUGCCCGGUGGGUUUGUGGCACUGCCCUGGCCGCAUGCUGGCACCAGCACAUCCGCACCCUUUGGUCGGCGUGCCCACGUCCCCGCUGUCCCGCGCCGCAUUUCAACCUGCGGGCCGGGUGGUGGCUGCAGCAGUGAUGAGUGCUGGAGCUGCUAGCAGGCUGGGAACGUCUUUUGUCAAAGCUUGAGAUGCCUCCAACCUCCUUUAAUUAAAGACAAUUACUGCUUUCAGCCCCUCUUCACAGCUCAGCUGGGUUGUUUGCAAACACACAGCUGCGGGAGGCUUUGUGCCCCUCUCCGAGUCCCGCUUCCCUGGAGACGCGCGGAGGUUUCCUUAUUAUCGGCAUUACGGCUAGAGCAGCUGAAGAGGGGGGGCACCCCAGGCUCCCAGGCAUCCAGGGUGUGUGGAGGUGCCUGCAGAAAAGCUUGCACGGCCUCCACAGGGCAGCCUGGAGCAGCACUGCCUGUCCACGUCCAGCCUUUCCUGCAAAACCUCCCGCGGGGUAAAGCGGCACGCGGCGCCGUGGGUCGCAGCGAGUGGCUUCUGCCAGAGGUGUGAAGAGAAACGAAGGACGGGUGAAUGACAGACGGGGGAGGCAUCUGAGCUGCAGUGAAGGUGGCUUUUGCUCCAGCUUCAGAGACAGGGCUGAUCGGACCACAGUUGUGAGCGCUGAGUAUCUGCUUUUACACAGCGCUCUGCUGAGUUAGCCGCGACUCUGCAGCCUCAUCUCAAGAGGCUGCUUUGCCUCCCUGCAGGAACUGCACCAGGCGGGCCAGAUUUGUGCUUUCUUGACUGAACUGUGCUCAGAAAAAAAAAAAUCCGAAACCUCCUGCAACCAAUAACCCCUGU